UACGUAGGGGGCAAGCGUUGUCCGGAAUCAUUGGGCGUAAAGCGCACGUAGGCGGCGAUUCAAGUCAGAGGUGAAAGCCCGGGGCUCAACCCCGGAACUGCCUUUGAAACUAGAUUGCUAGAAUCCUGGAGAGGUGAGUGGAAUUCCGAGUGUAGAGGUGAAAUUCGUAGAUAUUCGGAAGAACACCAGUGGCGAAGGCGACUCACUGGACAGGUAUUGACGCUGAGGUGCGAAAGCGUGGGGAGCAAACAGG
Molecule: ribosomal RNA, 253 nt
Filed under: uncultured bacterium
Lineage: Bacteria
Description: partial 16S ribosomal RNA
Rfam family: Bacterial small subunit ribosomal RNA
Source: RNAcentral